AAAAAAUUAGGCAAGUGGGUUUACGUAAUCUUGAGUUGUGGGGCGGCAAUUUAGAUCAAGAUUCAUUAAUUCAAUUAAAUGGAUUUGAGUUUAAAAGAAUUAAUUGAAGCUCCACCCUUCAUUUUCAUUUUCACUUGAAUUUGAAGACUUAUUUCUUCAUUACCCCAAAUGAAAGCCAAACCAAACACUCCCAAAAAUUAGAUCAACGCUCUCUCAUCCUAAAUUUUCCGACAAGCUUCAUUUCUCUUGGCUAUGGCAGUGACAAGGUCUUGAAUAGCUACACUUGUGACUAAUUCGACCGUCAAUUUCAUCCUUCCUUACGCCUUUGAGUUUCUUCAGCUACUUAUUUUUUAUUGUAUUUGUUUUUAGCUUGGAUCUAGUUGUAAUGAAUUGAUUUUGUUGAUUAGAUUGUAAAUGAAUUUAGGAGAAUCCAUUCGAUUCUUUAUUUAUUAUUUAAUUUAAUUUUGCAUAAUAAAUAAAUU
RNAcentral lists this long non-coding RNA (482 nucleotides) under Citrus maxima (pomelo). Its description in RNAcentral is "long non-coding RNA (CMAX_LNC003212)". Lineage: Eukaryota; Viridiplantae; Streptophyta; Magnoliopsida; Sapindales; Rutaceae. The record is from RNAcentral.